AGCGAACGCUGGCGGCGGGCUUAACACAUGCAAGUCGAGCGGGCGUAGCAAUACGUCAGCGGCAGACGGGUGAGUAACGCGUGGGAACAUACCUUUUGGUUCGGAAUAACACAGGGAAACUUGUGCUAAUACCGGAUAGGCCCUUACGGGGAAAGAUUUAUCGCCGAAAGAUUGGCCCGCGUCUGAUUAGCUAGUUGGUAGGGUAAUGGCCUACCAAGGCGACGAUCAGUAGCUGGUCUGAGAGGAUGAUCAGCCACAUUGGGACUGAGACACGGCCCAAACUCCUACGGGAGCAGCAGUGGGGAAUAUUGGACAAUGGGCGCAAGCCUGAUCCAGCCAUGCCGCGUGAGUGAUGAAGGCCCUAGGGUUGUAAAGCUCUUUUGUGCGGGAAGAUAAUGACGGUACCGC
Molecule: ribosomal RNA, 408 nt
Filed under: uncultured bacterium
Lineage: Bacteria
Description: bacterial SSU rRNA
Rfam family: Bacterial small subunit ribosomal RNA
Source: RNAcentral